GUCAGCAGACACUUGAGAACUUAAAUUGAGGUGCAAAACCCGGAAGUGAGGUAGCGUAAGGGGAGUCCAUAGCGCGAGACAACUACAACGGAACUUAGCUAGGCCUACAACUACAAAGAUCAAUCCCACAGUGGAGACGAACGAGGUUCGAUAUAAAAAAUCGUCUAAACAAGGACCACAGCGUUACCGUUUUGAGCCUCCAAGGCGUCCAAGGUACCGGAAACAGGGGAGGAGGAUAAUUAACGGGGAUCGGCUCGGGAGCGAGACUGAGCAGAACUUGUGGCGAGGUGGACAGUUAUCCAGGCAGACUCCCCGUCCGGCUGUGUCUCAGAGCCAGGAAGAUGAGGAUGCUGCAGAGAGAGGCAGCACCAGGUUUCCAUGGUGAAGAGGGCGGGGUUCCCCCCCCCCUCAGGGCCCAGUCAUGGUGAUGUUGGCCCAGGACGGGAACUCGUUGAGGCC
Molecule: long non-coding RNA, 459 nt
Organism: Anguilla anguilla (European eel)
Lineage: Eukaryota; Metazoa; Chordata; Actinopteri; Anguilliformes; Anguillidae
Exons: 3
Source: RefSeq, a predicted model, not a curated record